This 299-nucleotide long non-coding RNA is filed under the name Arachis ipaensis. Its description in RNAcentral is "long non-coding RNA (AIPA_LNC001543)". The record is from RNAcentral. Lineage: Eukaryota; Viridiplantae; Streptophyta; Magnoliopsida; Fabales; Fabaceae.
UUUUUUUUGACGAUUUUUUUACCGCCCGGAAAGCCGGAAAUUCAAAAAAAAUGAAAAACGGAGCAAACGUGCGAUUUUUGACAUGGAUUUUUGUGUGCAGCCUUCACAUAAUAUUACCAAGGUUCCCUCAAAAUUUCACGAAAAAUGCACGAGCCAAUUCUGAGAUAUGAAAAUUUGGCUCCUCCGUUGCAACGCUCCGAGCCAUCGUUGCAACGGCGGGUGCCUCCGUGGGGGGCGGGGGAGCCCGGCGGCACACCACAACCACAACGUGCUUGCUAGUGUGCCUAGGGGAUGNNNNN